CGGGAUGUAGCGCAGCCUGGUAGCGUACUCGCCUGGGGGGCGAGGGGUCGUGGGUUCAAAUCCCGCCAUCCCGA
Molecule: transfer RNA, 74 nt
Filed under: Bacteroidia bacterium
Lineage: Bacteria; Pseudomonadati; Bacteroidota; Bacteroidia
Description: tRNA-Pro
Rfam family: tRNA
About the family: Transfer RNA (tRNA) molecules are approximately 80 nucleotides in length.
Source: RNAcentral